GCCGGCUUAGCUCAGUUGUAGAGCAUCUGAUUUGUAUCAAGGUCGCGUGUUCAAGUCAUGUAGCCGGCA
Molecule: transfer RNA, 69 nt
Filed under: Streptococcus salivarius
Lineage: Bacteria; Bacillati; Bacillota; Bacilli; Lactobacillales; Streptococcaceae
Description: tRNA-OTHER
Rfam family: tRNA
About the family: Transfer RNA (tRNA) molecules are approximately 80 nucleotides in length.
Source: RNAcentral